This 406-nucleotide ribosomal RNA is filed under the name uncultured bacterium. Its description in RNAcentral is "bacterial SSU rRNA". It matches the Rfam family "Bacterial small subunit ribosomal RNA", at positions 29 to 433 of the family's 1533-position model. The record is from RNAcentral.
AGCGAACGUUUGCGGCGGGCUUAACACAUGCAAGUCGAACGGGCUGUUCCUUCGGGGGCAGUCAGUGGCGCACGGGUGCGUAACACGUAGGUAAUCAACCCUCUGGUUGGGGAUAACACUUCGAAAGGAGUGCUAAUACCCGGUAUGGCGCAGCGGUCUUCGGAUCGCGGCGAGAAAGACCCGCAAGGGUUGCCAGAGGACGAGCCUGCGGCCCAUCAGCUAGUUGGCGAGGUAACGGCUCACCAAGGCGAAGACGGGUAGCUGGUCUGAGAGGAUGAUCAGCCACACUGGAACUGAGACACGGUCCAGACUCCCACGGGAGGCAGCAGUGGGGAAUAUUGCGCAAUGGGCGAAAGCCUGACGCAGCCACGCCGCGUGAGCGAUGAAGGCCUCGGUCGUAAGACUC